Molecule: ribosomal RNA, 243 nt
Filed under: uncultured Actinomycetales bacterium
Lineage: Bacteria; Bacillati; Actinomycetota; Actinomycetes; Actinomycetales
Description: partial 16S ribosomal RNA
Rfam family: Bacterial small subunit ribosomal RNA
Source: RNAcentral
UACUCGAGUGGCGAACGGGUGAGUAACACGUGGGUGAUCUGCCCUGCACUUCGGGAUAAGCCUGGGAAACUGGGUCUAAUACCGGAUAGGAGCCAUUUUUAAUGUGAUGGUUGGAAAGUUUUUUCGGUGUAGGAUGAGCUCGCGGCCUAUCAGCUUGUUGGUGGGGUAAUGGCCUACCAAGGCGGCGACGGGUAGCCGGCCUGAGAGGGUGGACGGCCACAUUGGGACUGAGAUACGGCCCAG